RNAcentral lists this ribosomal RNA (468 nucleotides) under uncultured bacterium. RNAcentral's name for it is "partial 16S ribosomal RNA". It matches the Rfam family "Bacterial small subunit ribosomal RNA", at positions 28 to 507 of the family's 1533-position model. The record is from RNAcentral.
GACGAACGCUGGCGGCGUGCUUAACACAUGCAAGUCGAACGGAAAGGCCCUGCUUUUGUGGGGUGCUCGAGGGGCGAACGGGUGAGUAACACGUGAGUAACCUGCCCUUGACUUUGGGAUAACUUCAGGAAACUGGGGCUAAUACCGGAUAGGAGCUCCUGCUGCAGGGUGGGGGUUGGAAAGUUUCGGCGGUUGGGGAUGGACUAGCGGCUUAUCAGCUUGUUGGUGGGGGAGUGGCUUACCAAGGCUUUGACGGGUAGCCGGCCUGAGAGGGUGACCGGCCACCUUGGGCCUGAGAUACGGCCCAGACUCGUACGGGGGGCAGCAGUGGGGAAUAUUGCACAGUGGGCGGAAGCCUGAUGCAGCAACGCCGCGUGCGGGAUGACGGCCUUCGGGUUGUAAACCGCUUUCGCCUGUGACGAAGCGUGAGUGACGGUAAUGGGUAAAGAAGCACCGGCUAACUACGUG